This 282-nucleotide long non-coding RNA is filed under the name Hordeum vulgare. RNAcentral describes it as "long non-coding RNA (HVUL_LNC004741)". Lineage: Eukaryota; Viridiplantae; Streptophyta; Magnoliopsida; Poales; Poaceae. The record is from RNAcentral.
AGUUGUAGUUGCGCUCCAGUUGGGGCGGUUGCAACUACAAAAAAAAGUGUGACAAAAGCUACACGGUCAGGGAAACUCUCGCAAAAAUCCCGAUUGCUGUUGGGGAACGUUGCAUGGGAAACAAAAAAUUUCCUACGCACACGAAGACCUAUCAUGGUGAUGAUCAUCUACGAGAGGGAGAUCGGAUCCACAUACCCUUGUAGAUCUCUAAGCGGAAGCGUUAAUAAACGCGGUUGAUCUAGUGGUACAUCUUUACGACCCGUCCCAUGAACCGUCCCACGA